Molecule: unclassified non-coding RNA, 363 nt
Filed under: uncultured fungus
Lineage: Eukaryota; Fungi
Description: sequence contains ITS1
Rfam family: 5.8S ribosomal RNA (bases 1-105)
Source: RNAcentral
GAAAUGCGAUACGUAGUGUGAAUUGCAGAAUUCCGUGAAUCAUCAAAUCUUUGAACGCACAUUGCGCUCGAGGCUUCGGCCAAGAGCAUGUCUGCCUCAGCGUCGGGUUAAUAUCGCUCCCUACUCACCCUGUGUGAAUAGUGUGCGGACCUGGCUGUUCCAGCUAAGCGCUACCGAGAUGGCCUGCGCUCUGGAUCAGCUGAAGUACAGAGGUUAACCAAGGACCCGUUAAGGGCCACAACUGGGUAGGCACUUGUGCUAUAUUCUUAGUUGUUGGCCUGGGACCAUGUGUCUAACCCUCUAACCAGGAAUUAACCUUAUUUUCUCGACCUGAGCUCAGGCAAGAACACCCGCUGAACUUAA